GGAGGUUGAGGUCGACCAGAUUUUUCACAGGAGGCUGAGUUUCGAACGCUUGGAUCACAUGAGCUUCCUGGAUGAAGUGUACAAACUAGAACACAUGUAUAAUGUGUGGAGAAAUGUAUUCCUACUAGUCCCAGAUGAAAGUAUGUGGUCGUCGGUAUCAAGCGCUUCAUUCAAGUUGUUACCCAAUAGAUCAUUGUGUCACAAACC
This 207-nucleotide long non-coding RNA is filed under the name Gossypium raimondii (Peruvian cotton). Its description in RNAcentral is "long non-coding RNA (GRAI_LNC009917)". Lineage: Eukaryota; Viridiplantae; Streptophyta; Magnoliopsida; Malvales; Malvaceae. The record is from RNAcentral.